GCGCGAGCGCGCACGGCGGGAGGGGUUGAGUGGGGGUGAACACGCACGCACACGCACACACCCCCCCCCCCCGGUGCGGGAGGGCUGGCAGAGCGGGUGCGGUUUGACAUUGCCGCCCUCCCGCGCGGGAGGAGCCACGGGGGGAGGGGCUCCGGCGGGGAGGGACCGGCCCUCGCGGUAACCCGCCGAGCAGGAAACUCCGUGACGGCCUGUCACAGAGCGACAGUCCUUGCACCAGUGAACAGCUGUGACUUGGUCAGUGGGUUUGAAAGCAGUUACUGCAUUGUAAAGUGUGUGUAUGUUUUAAGAUGAGCACUUUGAUAUACCGUUUCUCCUAAAGGACUCCAUUUCACCGGAUAAUGCCAAGUGAAAAUUCAUGUUAUGGUUGUACAAACAAGAGCAUCUUGAAAAUUGUGGAGCUGCAUACAAGCAAAUGUCAGAUGACAGCUUCUCAUUCCUCAACACAGCUACCACGUGUCAUUGAUGUUGUCUGCUAUUGAAAGAAUGCAAACAAAAUGUGUGCAGAAAAAAAACUGCACAUGGACACAUCCAGGUAGUUCCUGGCACACCUGCCUCUUCUGUUGCCUUCAGUGGAGGAAUCAGUUAUUACUCUGAAAAGAGGAACUGAGGAGGAUGUCUGCAUUUGAGUGUCUGCAGGGUGUCUACAUUUGAGAAAAGAGCAGAAGGCGUCAUGAAAGACUGUCAUGUGGGACCUUGUGGUACUUGUAUUAUUUAACAGUGGAAGGCUGAAGAGUUUGGUGUGUGAUAUUUAAUAUGCAUUGAAAGAGUCAGCCUGCUUACCUUCACCCUUCCCUCUGUAACUCUGUGAAGCCUCCUCUAGAUGUGAACUUGCAAGGAUGAGGACACAGGAGAUGAAUGUUCUUGGCAGCAACAGAAAUGGUUUGGCCAUGUUUUUUCUUCCUUUGGUGUUUCCUCAGAGGCCUCCCCAGUUUGAUGGUGCUUUGCUUUUGAAUUCCCUGGUUGAAAGUGACUAUAAAACACAACUUUCACAAAGUGCUGUGAGAUGGAAAACUUUAUAUGAUGAGCCAAGAGUUAUUAGCAUUAGUAGAAAUAGUUAACCACCCUUUCACAAAAAUAGCACUUGUCAUUCUUCUGUAAUGCACUUGGUUGCGUCUCUCGGGAAAGAGACUCAGUAAGCUAAUAUCAUACUAUCUUCAGUAUGUCUCUGCUGUGUGGACUUGACUACAAAUUAGUACAUUUUCUAUGUAUUUUCUAUUAUUAUUCUGUCACAUCAGAGCCUGUCUGUAACUUGCUAUGAUACUGCUAAUAUUGUGGCACCUUAAUUCCACUGUUCUCUGGAAGCAGUUUUACCUCUUGUUUAUAGUGUUAAGAUGAAUAUAGGAGAAAGCCUUUCAUAUGGUGUCUUAGGAUAACGAAUACUUUUGCUUCAAAGACUUUCUUUUGCUAGCUUUGCCAGCAUUCUUUAUUCAAUCCCACUUUUAUUUAUAAAUAAAAAACGUUAGUUUACAUAAAUAAAGACACCUGAAGAUUAUAAUUGUUGCAAGGAUAUAGUGCCAACAUAAAAUUAUUGUUUCCAGAAUGCAAACAAGAAAUGGAAA
Strigops habroptila (Kakapo) is the source of this 1580-nucleotide long non-coding RNA. The record is from Ensembl. NCBI's taxonomy places the organism in Eukaryota, Metazoa, Chordata, Aves, Psittaciformes, Psittacidae.